CGAAGUAGGUCGAACGGCUCGGUCGUCACACUGCAUAAGUUUAAUCGUUGCGAAUCUGCUGACCUAGGGAAGAGUUAAAUAAAAAAGAAAGAAAAAAUAACAGAAGGCAGGAUAUUCGUGGAACAAGAUGGCAGUAAAGAAAGUUAGGUCGAAGAAGUCUGAAAAAGUGGAGCACAGGGAAAUUGAAGAAAAUGCAGCCAGAGGGAGAAAUUGCGAGAAAAAAAUGUAGGGAAGAGUGGAUAGAACAACGACAAAGUGGAAUGAAAUCGAGCAGGAGGAAGGCGGAAGUUCGAGGAUGGAACAGUGUACGGAAAGAAAGCAAAAAGAAGAAACUGUGGGCGAAGAGAAAAAGGCAGGAAACGAAGGGAAAUGGAAAGAAACGCGUAACAUCGAGAAGGGUAGCUGGUUUCGACUUUGUAGUAGGCCUCGAUCGAUGCUGUUACCAUGGCUACAGGGGCAGUACCGCGGUGCUCUACUACUGAUUAUUUAUGUCAAGGAUCCCUCCCUACUUCGAAGCUUGGAACGCAAACUCAAACGCGAACCACCCCAACGUAAGUGGCGAUAGCAUUCGAGACUCUCUUUCGGAAGAUUUCGAACAAUUUUCUCAUAAUUAAAUUUACAUUUUGUAAACGUUUGUAAAUUGUACAUUUUAAAUACCUGAUUUUACUUUAUGAAUUAAUCUUAUUCAUAAUUUUGUAUUACCGAAAUUUUUCAUAAACGGAUGAACGAAAAGUUAUCAAGUUUCAAAUUGUAAACUGAAAAUGAUUUUAUCGAAUAUAUGUAAUAUCGAUUAUUCUAAUAGAUCGAUUAGAUCAAAUGCGAUUUCUAUGCUAUUUACACAUUAG
This 845-nucleotide long non-coding RNA is filed under the name Apis florea (little honeybee). Its description in RNAcentral is "uncharacterized LOC116414371, transcript variant X2". The record is from RNAcentral. Lineage: Eukaryota; Metazoa; Arthropoda; Insecta; Hymenoptera; Apidae.